This 467-nucleotide ribosomal RNA is filed under the name uncultured bacterium. RNAcentral's name for it is "partial 16S ribosomal RNA". It matches the Rfam family "Bacterial small subunit ribosomal RNA", at positions 28 to 507 of the family's 1533-position model. The record is from RNAcentral.
GACGAACGCUGGCGGCGUGCUUAACACAUGCAAGUCGAACGGAAAGGCCUCUUUCGGGGGGUACUCGAGUGGCGAACGGGCGAGUAACACGUGAGUAACCUGCCCUUGACUUUGGGAUAACUUCAGGAAACUGGGGCUAAUACCGGAUAGGAGCUCCUGCUGCAUGGUGGGGGUUGGAAAGUUUCGGCGGUUGGGGAUGGACUCGCGGCUUAUCAGCUUGUUGGUGGGGUAGUGGCUUACCAAGGCUUUGACGGGUAGCCGGCCUGAGAGGGUGACCGGCCACAUUGGGACUGAGAUACGGCCCAGACUCCUACGGGAGGCAGCAGUGGGGAAUAUUGCACAAUGGGUGGAAGCCUGAUGCAGCAACGCCGUGUGCGGGAUGACGGCCUUCGGGUUGUAAACCGCUUUCGCUCAUGACGAAGCUUUGUGUGACGGUAGUGGGUAAAGAAGCACCGGCUAACUACGUG